RNAcentral lists this long non-coding RNA (1211 nucleotides) under Homo sapiens (human). Its description in RNAcentral is "non-protein coding lnc-SLC30A7-2:20". Lineage: Eukaryota; Metazoa; Chordata; Mammalia; Primates; Hominidae. The record is from RNAcentral.
GGCUACUGGGCUGCGGAGACCAGAGCCCGGCUCCACUGAAGAAACCCGCCGGCUGCUGGGGCAGGGCGGCGAAAGGUCAGUCGGCCGAGAGGAGUCCGUGGAGCCACCGUUUCAUAGCCUCAGGGAAAGGAUCGGGCGUGCUCACGAGCCCUCUAACCCAUGGCUUAAACACCCGCUUCCUAAGCCUGGUUCCUGAAUAUAUCACAUGUGGUGAUAAACAUGAAGAUGUAUGAAAAAUUGUGUUCGUUGAGAGAAAAUGGAAGGCUUUUCAUUCUACUUCCACAUUUUCAUUCCAGCAGCUUUUCUGUUUUGGAAGAUGAGUACUGAAUCUUGCAAUGAAAUUUUUUUAACUUAAACAAGGUUCUUAUGCCUUUGUUUGAAAAACAUGGUUCCCUGUGAAAUUUUACAUGUAGAAGAAAGCUUCACACUACGAGAGCUCUCAGGAUAUAAUUAUUUCAGACAGAUACUGGGAACAUAAGAUGGCUUAUCAAUCUAAGAUGGCCUUCCUGUCCUUCGGAUUGAACUGAAACCAUCCCUGAUUCCAGGGAUAGGUAGAUGAUCCAGGUUUGGACAAUCAAAAUAUUGAACCACCCUGGACCUACAAGUGUUUCUGGGAUGGGAACAUGCAAACGUUGGUCCAAAUUGUUGUUCUAGGCAGCCCAGUACAUUUCUCCAAUGCCUGCCUCUCAAGCACUGUGAAAAAUCACUUUCUCUUGUUGUAUUCUUGGAGCCCCUGCUAAUUCAUUAUUGAAAAAUACCUGCUGCCUGCAUUUGGCCUUAUGUUGUCAUUUACUUGGUACUUCCUAAGCGUGGCUACUCCAAUGAAGCUUUAGUAUAUGUACUGAAAGAAGAUCCUCUCAUACUGCCACAGCCAAGAGAUAAGGUUGUAAAUCUUUAUUGGGAGAAGCCGUCAAGGACAGUUCUGUGAAAUGAAAGGAUCUCUGGAUCACCACAAAGUCUGGCUCAGUGACUAUGGCUUUGCAAACACUAAACAUUCCUGUCUCAAGUCCUGUAGAUGGCUUGAAAUAGUAUACAUAAGCAUGCCUUAUAAACAUCUUCAGUCUUUAUCAACUCUUUGGAGAUUCAGCCAUUCUUUUUUGUACUUUAGGGAAUUAAAUCAUUUUAUAAUGUAUAAAUCUGAGCAUGGCCGAUGGCAGAAGAAAUUUUGUCAUACGUUUUUAAAGAAAUAAAAAUGUAUUAUGUUUUAAAAU